RNAcentral lists this ribosomal RNA (305 nucleotides) under uncultured bacterium. Its description in RNAcentral is "bacterial SSU rRNA". It matches the Rfam family "Bacterial small subunit ribosomal RNA", at positions 335 to 657 of the family's 1533-position model. The record is from RNAcentral.
UGCCUACGGGAGGCAGCAGUCGGGAAUAUUGCGCAAUGGAGGAAACUCUGACGCAGUGACGCCGCGUGCAGGAAGAAGGUUUUCGGAUUGUAAACUGCUUUAGACAGGGAAGAAAAAAGACAGUACCUGUAGAAUAAGCUCCGGCUAACUACGUGCCAGCAGCCGCGGUAAUACGUAGGGAGCGAGCGUUAUCCGGAUUUAUUGGGUGUAAAGGGCGUGUAGGCGGGAAAGCAAGUCAGAUGUGAAAACCACGGGCUCAACCUGUGGCCUGCAUUUGAAACUGUUUUUCUUGAGUACUGGAGAGG